CCAUAUCCAGGUGUGCAAACUUUGUAACAUCAUACCCAAGAGGACUGGAGGCUGUGAUCACUGCCAAAGGUGCUUCAACUAAGUCCUGAGUAAAGGGUCUGAAUACUUAUGUCAAAAUGCCAUAUUCUAAUUUUUCCUUUUAAAU
This is a long non-coding RNA of Bufo bufo (common toad), 145 nucleotides long. RefSeq lists it as uncharacterized. NCBI's taxonomy places the organism in Eukaryota, Metazoa, Chordata, Amphibia, Anura, Bufonidae. The record is from RefSeq and is a predicted model, not a curated record. The transcript has 4 exons.